UACGAAGGGGGCUAGCGUUGUUCGGAUUUACUGGGCGUAAAGCGCGUGUAGGCGGGUCGUUAAGUUGGGGGUGAAAUCCCCGAGCUCAACCCCGGAACUGCCUUCAAAACUGGCGGCCUGGACUCAAGCAGAGGCAAGUGGAAUUGCGAGUGUAGAGGUGAAAUUCGUAGAUAUUCGCAGGAACACCAGUGGCGAAGGCGGCUUGCUGGGCUUGUAGUGACGCUGAGACGCGAAAGCGUGGGGAGCAAACAGG
RNAcentral lists this ribosomal RNA (253 nucleotides) under uncultured bacterium. RNAcentral's name for it is "partial 16S ribosomal RNA". It matches the Rfam family "Bacterial small subunit ribosomal RNA", at positions 524 to 776 of the family's 1533-position model. The record is from RNAcentral.